GAUGAACGCUGGCGGCGUGCCUAAUACAUGCAGGUCGAGCGAGCGGACGAGAAGCUUGCUUCUCUGAUGUUAGCGGCGGACGGGUGAGUAACACGUGGAUAACCUACCUAUAAGACUGGGAUAACUUCGGGAAACCGGAGCUAAUACCGGAUGAUAUUUUGAACCGCAUGGUUCAAAAGUGAAAGACGGUCUUGCUGUCACUUAUAGAUGGAUCCGCGCUGCAUUAGCUAGUUGGUAAGGUAACGGCUUACCAAGGCAACGAUGCAUAGCCGACCUGAGAGGGUGAUCGGCCACACUGGAACUGAGACACGGUCCAGACUCCUACGGGAGGCAGCAGUAGGGAAUCUUCCGCAAUGGGCGAAAGCCUGACGGAGCAACGCCGCGUGAGUGAUGAAGGUCUUCGGAUCGUAAAACUCUGUUAUUAGGGAAGAACAUAUGUGUAAGUAACUGUGCACAUCUUGACGGUACCUAAUCAGAAAGCCACGGCUAACUACGUG
This 497-nucleotide ribosomal RNA is filed under the name uncultured bacterium. RNAcentral's name for it is "partial 16S ribosomal RNA". It matches the Rfam family "Bacterial small subunit ribosomal RNA", at positions 28 to 507 of the family's 1533-position model. The record is from RNAcentral.